Molecule: ribosomal RNA, 1426 nt
Filed under: uncultured organism
Description: SSU rRNA
Rfam family: Bacterial small subunit ribosomal RNA
Source: RNAcentral
AACGCUAGCUACAGGCUUAACACAUGCAAGUCCACUUUCAGCAGGAAGAAAGCUUGCUUUCUUUGCUGGCGACCGGCGCACGGGUGAGUAACACGUAUCCAACCUGCCCUUUACUCGGGGAUAGCCUUUCGAAAGAAAGAUUAAUACCCGAUGGCAUAAUGAUUCCGCAUGGUUUCAUUAUUAAAGGAUUCCGGUAAAGGAUGGGGAUGCGUUCCAUUAGGUUGUUGGUGAGGUAACGGCUCACCAAGCCUUCGAUGGAUAGGGGUUCUGAGAGGAAGGUCCCCCACAUUGGAACUGAGACACGGUCCAAACUCCUACGGGAGGCAGCAGUGAGGAAUAUUGGUCAAUGGGCGCUAGCCUGAACCAGCCAAGUAGCGUGAAGGAUGAAGGCUCUAUGGGUCGUAAACUUCUUUUAUAUAAGAAUAAAGUGCAGUAUGUAUACUGUUUUGUAUGUAUUAUAUGAAUAAGGAUCGGCUAACUCCGUGCCAGCAGCCGCGGUAAUACGGAGGAUCCGAGCGUUAUCCGGAUUUAUUGGGUUUAAAGGGAGCGUAGGUGGACUGGUAAGUCAGUUGUGAAAGUUUGCGGCUCAACCGUAAAAUUGCAGUUGAUACUGUCAGUCUUGAGUACAGUAGAGGUGGGCGGAAUUCGUGGUGUAGCGGUGAAAUGCUUAGAUAUCACGAAGAACUCCGAUUGCGAAGGCAGCUCACUGGACUGCAACUGACACUGAUGCUCGAAAGUGUGGGUAUCAAACAGGAUUAGAUACCCUGGUAGUCCACACAGUAAACGAUGAAUACUCGCUGUUUGCGAUAUACAGUAAGCGGCCAAGCGAAAGCAUUAAGUAUUCCACCUGGGGAGUACGCCGGCAACGGUGAAACUCAAAGGAAUUGACGGGGGCCCGCACAAGCGGAGGAACAUGUGGUUUAAUUCGAUGAUACGCGAGGAACCUUACCCGGGCUUAAAUUGCAGUGGAAUGAUGUGGAAACAUGUCAGUGAGCAAUCACCGCUGUGAAGGUGCUGCAUGGUUGUCGUCAGCUCGUGCCGUGAGGUGUCGGCUUAAGUGCCAUAACGAGCGCAACCCUUAUCUUCAGUUACUAACAGGUCAUGCUGAGGACUCUGGAGAGACUGCCGUCGUAAGAUGUGAGGAAGGUGGGGAUGACGUCAAAUCAGCACGGCCCUUACGUCCGGGGCUACACACGUGUUACAAUGGGGGGUACAGAAGGCAGCUAGCGGGUGACCGUAUGCUAAUCCCAAAAGCCUCUCUCAGUUCGGAUCGAAGUCUGCAACCCGACUUCGUGAAGCUGGAUUCGCUAGUAAUCGCGCAUCAGCCACGGCGCGGUGAAUACGUUCCCGGGCCUUGUACACACCGCCCGUCAAGCCAUGGGAGCCGGGGGUACAAGAGGUACGUAACCGCAAGGAUCGUCCUAGG